UACGGAGGGUGCAAGCGUUGUCCGGAUUUAUUGGGUUUAAAGGGUGCGUAGGCGGCUUAUUAAGUCAGCGGUGAAAGACCAGGGCUCAACCCUGGAACUGCCAUUGAUACUGAUAAGCUUGAGUAAAGUUGAGGUGGGCGGAAUUGACGGUGUAGCGGUGAAAUGCUUAGAUAUCGUCAAGAACACCGAUUGCGUAGGCAGCUUACUAAGCUUUAACUGACGCUGAGGCACGAAAGUGUGGGGAUCAAACAGG
This 253-nucleotide ribosomal RNA is filed under the name uncultured bacterium. RNAcentral describes it as "partial 16S ribosomal RNA". It matches the Rfam family "Bacterial small subunit ribosomal RNA", at positions 524 to 776 of the family's 1533-position model. The record is from RNAcentral.